This 466-nucleotide long non-coding RNA is filed under the name Anas platyrhynchos platyrhynchos (common mallard). Its description in RNAcentral is "lncRNA (ENSAPLG00000017014.1)". Lineage: Eukaryota; Metazoa; Chordata; Aves; Anseriformes; Anatidae. The record is from RNAcentral.
ACCAAUGUGGAUAAUUGUGGGUGUAUCCUCUUCUGAAAAGAAGUCAUCAAUGUUUCCAGAAAGAUGAGUGCAGGAAUAGGAAACUUACCUCACAAAGGACCUGAAAAUUGAAAAUUUUCUUCUUUACGAGGACAACAAAAUUGGUGAUUUUGAACUGAGCAAUACCACGAAGUUUGAGGGGGUUGCUACUUACCCAGUGUGGAAGCCCAGUUUACACAGCCCCAGAACUCCUUCCUCACAGGAAAUAUGGCCCAAAGGUGAACGUCUGGUCCAUCUCUUUGAAGAUAUUUUAAAAAGGAUGUUGUUGCACUCACUCCACAUGCAGAUCUCGGUUUCACAAAUAACACAAUCAUCAUCUGCACUAGCGUCUGAACCAGAUCAAUCAAACUGGGAUUGCCUAAAUUCCUAAAAUGACCAGCUCAGCUGAGUUCAGCAGAGAUGUGACAUGAGACUGCAAGGAGCAGCG